AAUUAAUCAUCACCAAAAUAAAAAUUUAUCGCUUUGAUCACCUCCUACCUAUGUUUUAGUCAACGACGAUGAUAGUGAGGACGACAACAACAACGACUAUGAAGGUGAGAACGACAGGGAUGAAGACAGCACAAAAACUGAACAAAUUGAAGCGAAGCGACGAUGACGAAGGCAACACAAAUAAAACGGAGGACUCGCGGUGGUGACGCUGGUGGAGGUAGUCCUUGGGGAGAACAACAGUGGCGGCAAAAACGAAGCAGCAAGGUGAAGAAGCAACAGAAUCAUGCGAAGAGAAAGAAGAAGAAGAAGCAGAAGCAGAAGCAGCAGCAGCGCGAAGAGAAAGAAGAAGAAGCAGAAGCAACGACGCCAAAAGAAAUGAAAAGAGCUAAAAAUUUUGAACUUAAUAAACGAUACUACCUCGGUUGUCCAAAACACCCGAGGCAAUAGAUCCCUACGACAUUGGUUAUCCAGGAAACCGAUGCUUAAAUUGAAGCCUAUAUGCCUCAGUUAGACAAAGAACCGAGACCAAAUUAACUUUUGACACCGGGUCUAAAGAAAC
Molecule: long non-coding RNA, 559 nt
Filed under: Vigna radiata
Lineage: Eukaryota; Viridiplantae; Streptophyta; Magnoliopsida; Fabales; Fabaceae
Description: long non-coding RNA (VRAD_LNC009189)
Source: RNAcentral